This is a long non-coding RNA of Bos taurus (domestic cattle), 534 nucleotides long. Lineage: Eukaryota; Metazoa; Chordata; Mammalia; Artiodactyla; Bovidae. The record is from Ensembl.
AAUUUUCCUCCCUACAUAUUUGAGAUGAAGAUUUAGGAGAGUCAACUCUGGUAAGAAUUCUCGCACUUCACUGACUUCUGCAAACUCUCUCAGGAUCCCAUCUGCAGGCUCUGAGAUAAGGGAACUGAAGCACAGAAAGUGAAAAACCUACUCAAGAUCACACCAUCACCAGAUGACGGAGCAAGCUGGGAUUCAGAUGCAGGCAACUUGAUGACAAAAACGACAUCUACUGUUAUGCCUGCUAGAAACCAUAAAAGCUAACACGUUUAUUGGCUGUUUGCUGGGCUCUGUUCUAGGGCAUUACAAGGGUGAAUUCACUUAACCUCACAGCAGUCUGACAAGGUGGCCGUGACUGUCACUGUGUCAGAGAAGAGCUCGCUGCUUCCCUCACCCGUCGGCGGGAGGCAGAGCUGGGACUGAUUGCAGGCACUCAGCUCUAGAGCCUAUGCUCCCAACUGUCACACAAAACCACCCCUGAGCUUCCAGGAUAUCAUUCUCAGUAUUUUGAUACAUGCUUGAAACGUUUCAUAAUUC